This is a small nuclear RNA of Dipodomys spectabilis (banner-tailed kangaroo rat), 108 nucleotides long. The record is from RefSeq and is a predicted model, not a curated record. Lineage: Eukaryota; Metazoa; Chordata; Mammalia; Rodentia; Heteromyidae.
UUGCUCGCUUUGGUAGCACAUAUAAUAAAAAUUGGAAUGGUACAGAGAAGAAUAGCAUGGCCCCUUAGCAAGGAUGACAUGCAAAUUCAUGAAGUGUUCUGUAUUUUU